CUGCAGCCCGAGUGGUGAUCGAUUUUAUUGAGCCUAAAGCGUCCGUAGCCGGACUAGUAAACCCUUGGGUAAAUUGGGCAGCUUAACUGUCCAAAUUCCGAGAGGACUGCUAGUCUUGGGACCGGGAGAGGUCAGAGGUACUCAAGGGGUAGGGGCUAAAUCCUGUAAUCCUUUGGGGACCACCAGUGGCGAAGGCGUCUGACUAGAACGGAUCCGACGGUAAGGGACGAAACCCUGGGGCGCGAACCGGAUUAGAUACCCGCGUAGUC
This 269-nucleotide ribosomal RNA is filed under the name uncultured archaeon. Its description in RNAcentral is "partial 16S ribosomal RNA". It matches the Rfam family "Archaeal small subunit ribosomal RNA", at positions 477 to 746 of the family's 1478-position model. The record is from RNAcentral.